GUUUAGUAGGUGAGUGGGUGGGCGCGGGCGUGAGAGUGUGUGUGUGUGCGUGGGCUGACAGUCCGUGCGUGUGUGUGGGCGUGAGAGUCCGUGCGUGAGCGUGGGCGUGAGAGUGCGCGUGCGUUGGCGUGAGAGUGCAUGUGGAUGUGCGUGGGAGAGUGCGUGGGCGUGGGCGUGAGAGAGCGUGUGCGUGCGUGGGCGUAGGCGUGCGAGUGUGUGUGUGCGUGGGCGUGAGUGCGUGUGCGUGCGUGGGCGUGGGCGUCCGAGACUGUGUGUGCGUGGGCGUGAGUGCGUAUGUGUGUGCAUGGGCGUGAGAGUGCGUGUGCGUGAGAGUGCGUGGGCGUGAGAAUGCGUGUGCGUGAGAGUGCGUGGGCGUGCGGGUGUUUGUGCAUGGGCGUGAGUGCGUGUGCGUGCGUGGGCGUGAGUGCAUGUGCGUGAGUGCGUCGACGUGCGAGUACGUGUGUGCAUGGGCGUGAGUGCGAGAGCGUGCGUGGGCGUGAGUGCGUCUGCGUGGGCGUGAUUGCGUGUGCGUGCGUGGGCAUGAGAGUGUGUGUGCGUGCGUGGGCGUGAGUGGGUGUGCUAGGGCGUGGGCACUAGUGCGUGUGCAUACGUGGGCAUGAGAGUGCGUAUGCGUGGGUGUGAGUGCGUGUGCGUGCGUGGGUGUGAGAGAGCGUGUGCGUGAGACGUGAGCGUGCGAGUGUGUGUGUGCGUGGACGUGAAUGCGUGCGUGGGCGUGGGCGUGCGAGUGUGUGCGUGGACGUGAGAGUGCGUGUGCGUGGGCCUGAGUGCGUGUGCGUGUGCGUGAGUGCGUGUGUGUGAGUGAGUGGGCGUGUGCGUAAAUGUGCGUGUGUUUGCAUGAGUGCGUGUGCGUGGGCGUGAGUGCAUGUUCGUAGGAGUGAGUGAGUGCGUGGGCGUGAGAGCGCGUGUGCGUGCAGAAUCCCACGCAAGCUUUAAUUCCUGAUUAGAUGAAGGUGAUAAGGUGUUUUAAUAGUAGUAUUCACUUAAAAAUCAGAUGAAAAAUGGCCAUAGACAAACAUUUAAGAAGUUGUGUAUAAGAGAAUUCAGUUCUGUUACUUAGAGAUUCUGAAUCUAUUGUGUCCAAUAAUUUACUUGAAAAGCAGUGCAUUAAGAACAUAAAAUACUUAGCCUUAACUAAAUAUAAUAAAACACUUUAAAAACACCUGAAAACACGUGAAGCAGGUAUAAAACAUGUGAAAUAAUCUUAAAACAACGGGAUCAAUAAGUCUAGCAUAGGUUUCAGCCGAGAAUUAAAUAUAAAACACUCAAAACACAUUAAAACACAUGGAUUAAAUACUGGAAGCCCUCAUAUUUAACUAAACAUACCAAAACACCGAGAAAAACGAGAAAUGAGCUAAAAAACAACAGGAUCAAGAAUUCUUUCAUUGGUUUUAUCCGAAGAUUCAGUCAUCUAUUGCGUCGCUUUGUUAAGGGACGACUCAAAGGAGGCGAGGAGGAAGUACAGCAAGGUGGUGUGGGGAUUUGUCACCUCUGGACCAAAUGAGGCUCUUGUCAUAUCGAGUAUGUAUGGUGUGAAGUGAGCGGCUUCCACUUCGCCAUCCCGUGAACGGCCCGCAGGAAUCUCUGCCAACACCUGCUUCAGCACUGCUGGCAUCUGGUCGUCAAAUAGCGGUGCCACGCCGGGCCUGACGUGCUCCGUUGCAAUCGGGGAGUCGAGUUUCACAAGGAAGACUGGCCGAGCAUCGCCGCCUUCAAGCCCCACAAGAGGUGUUCAGUAUCGUUGGUACAGAGCAGAGGGCCUGGUACAAGAGUUUUCAUUGCAGUCAAGGAAGUCAAGAAUUUUAAGCAGGAGUUUAGACUCAAACAGUUAACAGCAGGAAGAACGCCUGAAAUUCCCUUCAAGUUGCGGGGGGACAACGGGCAACCUUCAACACUUGCGGAGGCACAAGAGUUGUGGGCAGUUUCGCCAGGAAGAGUUUGUUCCGCACUCAAGUUGACACAAGGACUCAAGAAUGAGCAAGAGUUCUCUAGUCUGGGAAGAAUGUAGCAAGUCCCUCUUCUGUACUCAACAACCACCACCACCACCACCAUUCAGGCUUGGGGUAAGCUUUGUACAUUCCAUUACUCCAGUAAUAAGGAAAAGAAGUGCCAUGUUUAUCCUGUUGUGUGUUUAUUAACUUGUCAUACACUAAAACAAUAAAAAUUCAAUAUACCGUC
RNA transcript from Scylla paramamosain (green mud crab), 2196 nucleotides. RefSeq lists it as uncharacterized. The transcript has 2 exons. The record is from RefSeq and is a predicted model, not a curated record. Lineage: Eukaryota; Metazoa; Arthropoda; Malacostraca; Decapoda; Portunidae.